GUUGCCAAGUAGGACGGCGGGCAAAGGGCUCCUCCAAGUUUCUGCGCUGGAGUCACAACCCAAGAGGCAUCACCGUCUGGCGUUAGUGUCUGAGGAGCCGCAGGAAUGAGCAGCAGCAGCAGGAGGAGCUGGAGGACUUGUUUGCUGAGGCCAGUAUUCUGUUCAAAAGUUUGCAGACGCACGGAACUAGGAGGAAGCGUGACAGGGAGAGAAGGGGGCGAGGAGAGAGAUGUAGAAGGGAGAAAGAGGAGGCGAGGAGCUAAAGUGGGGGGUGGGGGACAAAGUGGCCUAAGUCCACCAGGAGAAAGAAGUAAGUGAUUAAGGAAAAGAGGGAAAAUCGAAGGGGAGGAAGGAAGAGGGAGGGCCGCGUGUCAGCCGGCGUCCGUCGGAACCGCCUGGUCAGGCAGUUGUGCAAGUCGGCAGCGCCUUCUCUACUCUGAGGUCCCUCUGGCUGCGUCUGAAGCUGCGGCUUCUGCUGCUGCUGCCGGUGGUUACUGAGGUGACCAGCCCUCUGCUCCUAUUUAUAUGUGCAGUUAGCAGAAAUCUAUCUGAAUGUGGUUUUAGAAGAGGCUUCCUUGUCAACAUCUGUCUGCCUAUGGCCUUUAAGUACAGAAUAUUUUGUUGCACUGUUGCGCUCCGAUUUUUAUUCAUGGAAUGACUUCCUUUUUUUUUUUUUUUUCCAGUCACGUAAUGAUCGGGUAUCAGAAAAAGACGUCAGCAUCCUAGUCCCUCAAGGAACAUAUUAACUAUUUUGUGCUGUCCUCUUGGAUGAUAAGAUCCGGAGUCAUCGACUUCUCAUAAACACCUUUCACUGAUACAAUCCAAUUUUUAAGAAGUGCAAUUAUUUUGAUGGUUUUCAAUUUUGCCCAUUUCUCAAGGAUGGGUAAAGAAUUCAUACAAUUUCGAGGGUGGUAAAAGUCAUGUUUUUAAUUAUGUCUCUAUGAUUUCUCUUUACUUUUCAUCAAACCUCAGCAAUCAGAGCUCUGGCCUCUAGAAUUAAGCACCCUCAAGCUCUCCUAUUAAUAAAUUUAAUUUAGAUCUCCUAA
RNAcentral lists this long non-coding RNA (1046 nucleotides) under Lynx pardinus (Iberian lynx). Lineage: Eukaryota; Metazoa; Chordata; Mammalia; Carnivora; Felidae. The record is from RNAcentral.